RNAcentral lists this ribosomal RNA (496 nucleotides) under uncultured bacterium. Its description in RNAcentral is "partial 16S ribosomal RNA". It matches the Rfam family "Bacterial small subunit ribosomal RNA", at positions 30 to 508 of the family's 1533-position model. The record is from RNAcentral.
CGAACGCUGGCGGCGUGCCUAAUACAUGCAAGUAGAACGCUGAAGAGAGGAGCUUGCUCUUCUUGGAUGAGUUGCGAACGGGUGAGUAACGCGUAGGUAACCUGCCUGGUAGCGGGGGAUAACUAUUGGAAACGAUAGCUAAUACCGCAUAAAAUUGAUUAUUGCAUGAUAAUUAAUUGAAAGAUGCAAUUGCAUCACUACCAGAUGGACCUGCGUUGUAUUAGCUAGUUGGUGAGGUAACGGCUCACCAAGGCGACGAUACAUAGCCGACCUGAGAGGGUGAUCGGCCACACUGGGACUGAGACACGGCCCAGACUCCUACGGGAGGCAGCAGUAGGGAAUCUUCGGCAAUGGGGGGAACCCUGACCGAGCAACGCCGCGUGAGUGAAGAAGGUUUUCGGAUCGUAAAGCUCUGUUGUAAGAGAAGAACGGGUGUGAGAGUGGAAAGUUCACACUGUGACGGUAUCUUACCAGAAAGGGACGGCUAACUACGUGC